CACACGACUCUCGGCAACGGAUAUCUCGGCUCUCGCAUCGAUGAAGAACGUAGCGAAAUGCGAUACCUGGUGUGAAUUGCAGAAUCCCGCGAACCAUCGAGUCUUUGAACGCAAGUUGCGCCCGAGGCCUUUGGGCCGAGGGCACGCCUGCCUGGGCGUCACG
This 163-nucleotide ribosomal RNA is filed under the name Borinda lushuiensis. Its description in RNAcentral is "Fargesia lushuiensis 5.8S ribosomal RNA". It matches the Rfam family "5.8S ribosomal RNA". From Rfam's summary of the family: 5.8S ribosomal RNA (5.8S rRNA) is a component of the large subunit of the eukaryotic ribosome. Lineage: Eukaryota; Viridiplantae; Streptophyta; Magnoliopsida; Poales; Poaceae. The record is from RNAcentral. RNAcentral also lists the same sequence under 1 other name.